GAGGAGUGGGAUGACGUCAAAUCAGCACGGCCCUUACGUCCAGGGCUACACACGUGCUACAAUGGCCGGUACAAAGGGCAGCUACCUGGUGACAGGAUGCUAAUCUCAAAAGCCGGUCUCAGUUCGGAUCGGAGUCUGCAACUCGACUCCAUGAAGUUGGAAUCGCUAGUAAUCGUGGAUCAGCAUGCCACGGUGAAUACGUUCCCGGGCCUU
Molecule: ribosomal RNA, 213 nt
Filed under: uncultured Marinilabiliaceae bacterium
Lineage: Bacteria; Pseudomonadati; Bacteroidota; Bacteroidia; Marinilabiliales; Marinilabiliaceae
Description: partial 16S ribosomal RNA
Rfam family: Bacterial small subunit ribosomal RNA
Source: RNAcentral